AGUGAACGCUGGCGGUAGGCCUAACACAUGCCAGUCGAACGGCAGCACAGUAAGAGCUUGCUCUUACGGGUGGCGAGUGGCGGACGGGUGAGGAAUACAUCGGAAUCUACUUUUUCGUGGGGGAUAACGUAGGGAAACUUACGCUAAUACCGCAUACGACCUACGGGUGAAAGCAGGGGAUCUUCGGACCUUGCGCGAUUGAAUGAGCCGAUGUCGGAUUAGCUAGUUGGCGGGGUAAAGGCCCACCAAGGCGACGAUCCGUAGCUGGUCUGAGAGGAUGACCAGCCACACGGGAAUGGAGAAGGGUCCCAGACUCCUGCGGGGGGCGGAAGGGGGGAUUUUUGGACAAGGGGGGAAGGCCUGAUCCGGCUUUCCCGGGGGGGUGAAGAGGGCCUCCGGGUUUUAAGACCCUUUUUUGGGGAAAAAAAAGCAGCGGGUAAAUCCCCCGCUGUUCUGACGGUACCCAAAGAAAAAGCACCGGCAAGCUUGGUG
RNAcentral lists this ribosomal RNA (492 nucleotides) under uncultured bacterium. Its description in RNAcentral is "partial 16S ribosomal RNA". It matches the Rfam family "Bacterial small subunit ribosomal RNA", at positions 29 to 507 of the family's 1533-position model. The record is from RNAcentral.